UGGAAGGGUAGCGAAGAGGCUAAACGCGGCGGACUGUAAAUCCGCUCCUUCGGGUUCGGGGGUUCGAAUCCCUCCUCUUCCAU
RNAcentral lists this transfer RNA (83 nucleotides) under Streptococcus pneumoniae. RNAcentral's name for it is "tRNA-Tyr(gta)". It matches the Rfam family "tRNA". From Rfam's summary of the family: Transfer RNA (tRNA) molecules are approximately 80 nucleotides in length. Lineage: Bacteria; Bacillati; Bacillota; Bacilli; Lactobacillales; Streptococcaceae. The record is from RNAcentral.